AGCUUAUUCCUGUGCUGUCCAACUUUCCAGUGCAAGAGGUAAGGGGCAUCUUCACUCUCUCAUCACUCAUUGGUAAACUUUCCUCUAUUAUGGCUCUGCUUACCCCUGCCUCACAAGACCUCCUAGAAGCUUAUUCCUGUGCUGUCCAACUUUCCAGUGCAAGAGGUAAGGGGCAUCUUCACUCUCUCAUCACUCAUUGGUAAACUUUCCUCUAUUAUGGCUCUGCUUACCCCUGCCUCACAAGACCUCCUAGAAGCUUAUUCCUGUGCUGUCCAACUUUCCAGUGCAAGAGGUAAGGGGCAUCUUCACUCUCUCAUCACUCAUUGGUAAACUUUCCUCUAUUAUGGCUCUGCUUACCCCUGCCUCACAAGACCUCCUAGAAGCGUAUUCCUGUGCUGUCCAACUUUCCAGUGCAAGAGGUAAGGGGCAUCUUCACUCUCUCAUCAC
This is a long non-coding RNA of Eriocheir sinensis (Chinese mitten crab), 447 nucleotides long. RefSeq lists it as uncharacterized. The transcript is spliced from 2 exons. Lineage: Eukaryota; Metazoa; Arthropoda; Malacostraca; Decapoda; Varunidae. The record is from RefSeq and is a predicted model, not a curated record.